This 446-nucleotide ribosomal RNA is filed under the name uncultured bacterium. RNAcentral describes it as "partial 16S ribosomal RNA". It matches the Rfam family "Bacterial small subunit ribosomal RNA", at positions 338 to 795 of the family's 1533-position model. The record is from RNAcentral.
CCUACGGGGGGCUGCAGUCGAGAAUCAUUCACAAUGGGCGAAACCCUGAUGGUGCGACGCAGCGUGCAGGAUUGAAGGCCUUCGGAUUGUAAACCCCUGUCAUGUGGGAGCAAAUUAAAAAGAUAGUACCACAAGAGGAAGAGACGGCUAACUCUGUGCCAGCAGCCGCGGUAAUAAAGAGGUCUCAAGCGUUGUUCGGAAUCACUGGGGGUAAAGGGUGCGUAGGCUGUUUGGUAAGUCGUGGGGGAAAGUCGCGGGCUAAACCCGCGGAUGGCAGAUGAUACUGGGAGACUAGAGUAUGGUAGGGGGAACCGGAAUUCUCGGUGUAGCGGUGAAAUGCGUAGAUAUCGAGAAGAACACUCAUGGCGAAGGCAGGUUCCUGGACAUUAACUGACGCUGAGGCACGAAGGCCAGGGGAGCGAAAGGGAUUAGAUACCCGAGUAGUC